This 501-nucleotide ribosomal RNA is filed under the name uncultured bacterium. RNAcentral's name for it is "partial 16S ribosomal RNA". It matches the Rfam family "Bacterial small subunit ribosomal RNA", at positions 30 to 523 of the family's 1533-position model. The record is from RNAcentral.
AUUGAACGCUGGCGGCAGGCUUAACACAUGCAAGUCGAGCGGAGAUGAGGUGCUUGCACCUUGUCUUAGCGGCGGACGGGUGAGUAAUGCUUAGGAAUCUGCCUAUUAGUGGGGGACAACAUUCCGAAAGGAAUGCUAAUACCGCAUACGUCCUACGGGAGAAAGCAGGGGAUCUUCGGACCUUGCGCUAAUAGAUGAGCCUAAGUCGGAUUAGCUAGUUGGUGGGGUAAAGGCCUACCAAGGCGACGAUCUGUAGCGGGUCUGAGAGGAUGAUCCGCCACACUGGGACUGAGACGCGGCCCAGACUCCUACGGGAGGCAGCAGUGGGGAAUAUUGGACAAUGGGGGGAACCCUGAUCCAGCCAUGCCGCGUGUGUGAAGAAGACCUUAUGGUUGUAAAGCACUUUAAGCGAGGAGGAGGCUACUGAGACUAAUACUCUUGGAUAGUGGACGUUACUCGCAGAAUAAGCACCGGCUAACUCUGUGCCAGCCGCCGCGGUAA